AUUCAACUUUGUCAUGAUUAAUUUAUAGUUUAGACUAAGCUUUAGCAUGGUGAUUUGUGUGUAUCAGGUAAGCCUAGAUUUAAUCUACCUGAACAAACCCAGCAAGAAACCUUAAACAAUAUUAGAAAUAAUAAUUUAAUUAGCGUCUAUAGGUUUGACUAACUAGGUGCCAGCAGUCGCGGUCAUACCUGGAAACCAAGCUAUAAACCUUAGGCUGGCUUUUUACACUAACUUUCAUAAUUAGGUAAAAUUUUUAUGAUUUUUAAGACUAAGAAAAUAAUAGGCCCAAACUCUAGCAAUAAACCAGGAUUAGAUACCCUGCUAUACAGAGCCAAAAUUGAAAGCUUAAGCACUAAGACUUUACAGUUAAAACUUAAAUGACAUGGCGGCAGCUUCAAAUUUCAAGGGAACUUACCAGAUAAAUGAUAAUCCGCAAAAUACCCUACUCCCCCUAACUAGUUUGUAUAUCACCGUCUUCAGAGCCCGUCUGAGAUGAGCUCAAAAUGCUUUAAACCAAGCAAAAAGACAGGUCAACAUGCAACCCAUGGGGGAGCCAUUAAGGUGAGUUACAAUGAUUUUAAUCUUGGAAUUUUUUUGAAAACUAAAAAGAAAACCGGACUUGAAAGUAAAAACUAUUUAGAAAUAUGGUUUGAAUUUUCAAAAAGCUGUGCACAAAUCGCCCGUCACUCUCGUUGGAAAAGGAGAUAAGUCGUAACACAGUAAGCGUACCGGAAGGUGCGCUU
Molecule: ribosomal RNA, 743 nt
Filed under: Tritonia iocasica
Lineage: Eukaryota; Metazoa; Mollusca; Gastropoda; Nudibranchia; Tritoniidae
Description: 12S ribosomal RNA
Source: RNAcentral